GAUGAACGCUAGCGAUAGGCUUAACACAUGCAAGUCGAGGGGCAGCAUGGUCUUAGCUUGCUAAGACUGAUGGCGACCGGCGCACGGGUGCGUAACGCGUAUGCAACUUGCCUCACAGAGGGGGAUAACCCGUCGAAAGACGGACUAAUACCGCGUACACUCCAUCUUGGGCAUCCAAGGUAGAGGAAAUGAAAUUCGCUGUGAGAUAGGCAUGCGUCCCAUUAGCUAGUUGGUGAGGUAACGGCUCACCAAGGCGACGAUGGGUAGGGGAACUGAGAGGUUGAACCCCCACACUGGUACUGAGACACGGACCAGACUACUACGGGAGGCAGCAGUGAGGAAUAUUGGUCAAUGGGCGAGAGCCUGAACCAGCCAAGUCGCGUGAAGGAUGACUGUCUUAUGGAUUGUAAACUUCUUUUAUACGGGAAUAACAAGAGUCACGUGUGACUCCCUGCAUGUACCGUAUGAAUAAGCAUCGGCUAACACCGUG
RNAcentral lists this ribosomal RNA (490 nucleotides) under uncultured bacterium. RNAcentral describes it as "partial 16S ribosomal RNA". It matches the Rfam family "Bacterial small subunit ribosomal RNA", at positions 28 to 507 of the family's 1533-position model. The record is from RNAcentral.